CCCCCUUGUUUAACAAAACAUGUCUUAAUGUUAAAUUUUAUUAAGUCUGGCCUGCUCAAUGAUUUUAUUAAAUAGCCGCAGUAUUUUGACUGUGCGAAGGUAGCAUAAUCAUUUGUCUCUUAAUUGGGGACUUGUAUGAAUGGUUUUAUGAGAGAAUAACUUUCUUUAUAUUAAAUUUUAGAAUUUAAUUUUUGUGUUAAAAAGCUUAAAUUUAUAAAUGGGACGAGAAGACCCUAUAGAAUUUUAUUUUAAUUUAAAUUAUUUAAUUUAUUGGUUAAUUUUUUUAAUAAUUUAUUUUGAAAUUUUGUUGGGGCGACAUUGAGAUUUUUUUAACUCUCAUAUUUUAUAUUUUAUUGAUUUAUAUAUUUAGAAUCCUUUGUAUUAAGAAUUUAGUUUAAAUUACCUUAGGGAUAACAGCGUAAUUUUUUUUGAGAGUUCUUAUUGAUAAAGAAGUUUGCGACCUCGAUGUUGGAUUAAAAUUAGAUUUAAGUGCAGAAGCUUAAUUUUCUAGGUCUGUUCGACCUUUAAACUUUUACAUGAUUAAUUUUUAACCCGGAA
Molecule: ribosomal RNA, 558 nt
Filed under: Megarrhamphus hastatus
Lineage: Eukaryota; Metazoa; Arthropoda; Insecta; Hemiptera; Pentatomidae
Description: partial large subunit ribosomal RNA
Rfam family: Bacterial large subunit ribosomal RNA
Source: RNAcentral